RNAcentral lists this ribosomal RNA (253 nucleotides) under uncultured bacterium. RNAcentral describes it as "partial 16S ribosomal RNA". It matches the Rfam family "Bacterial small subunit ribosomal RNA", at positions 524 to 776 of the family's 1533-position model. The record is from RNAcentral.
UACGGGGGGAGCAAGCGUUGUUCGGAUUUACUGGGCGUAAAGGGCGCGUAGGCGGCCCGCUAAGUCGAACGUGAAAUCCCCGGGCUCAACCCGGGAACUGCGUCCGAUACUGGCAGGCUUGAAUCCGGGAGAGGGAUGCGGAAUUCCAGGUGUAGCGGUGAAAUGCGUAGAUAUCUGGAGGAACACCGGUGGCGAAGGCGGCAUCCUGGACCGGCAUUGACGCUGAGGCGCGAAAGCCAGGGGAGCAAACGGG